Molecule: long non-coding RNA, 1780 nt
Organism: Leptonychotes weddellii (Weddell seal)
Lineage: Eukaryota; Metazoa; Chordata; Mammalia; Carnivora; Phocidae
Source: RefSeq, a predicted model, not a curated record
GCACCCGGCCGGCCGGCAGGCUGUAAGGAAAGGAUUAUAAUGUGGGGUGGGAGCAGGGUGGGGAGGCACGGGAAGCCGAGCAGUCAGCCAGGGCUCGAGCCGCCCUCAGUACUCGUCCUGGUCUUCCUGUUGGUGUUCCUCAAUCUCAUCAUCCUCAGGGGGUGCAAAUCCUUCCUGGAGGGUGGGAAAGGAGAGGGAAGUGGUGAGCCAGGCAGGCCAGGCCGAGGGGGAGACGGCUGCCCCAGGGCUCCAGAGAAAGGGCUGAGUUCUAGUUCCACUUCCCCUGCUAAUCUCUAUGUGGCCUUGGGCUCUGACUUCAGCGGGCUCUCCUCAGCCCUCGGGUGCCACCCCUUGUGGUCUCCACGGGGCGAUCUGUGAGUGGGCCUGGGACGGGAGCGGGCGCCGGCAGAGCUCACCUCAGUGGCGUAGAGAAUGCCAAUGAUGCCCGAGAUGACAGGGCUGUUCUCACUUUCGUGUUCCUGGCAGAUGAGCUCGAUGUCUCGAAGUUUGCUGAAGUAGAAGUCACGCUCCUUCUCCAGCCCAUCCACGGUCAGCUUCAAAUCCAAUAGCUGCUCCGGGACAAGGUGGUGUUCAGGCCAGAGAUCCCUGCCUCAGACUCCCCUUCCCGUCCUGACACCCCAAGGGCCUGGCUUUUGUUGAGGGCUCUCUCAGCGACCCUCGCCCACCCUACUCACCUGCUGGUUGAGUUCAAGAAUCUGGGCAUCAGUCUCAUGGCCGCCAUUCCGGGCUGAUGGGGGAUUCUUCCGGAGGAUGCAGGGUGGGGCCACAUUGCUCAGCCGACCAGAGGUCUGCAUAUUUUUGGGGCCUGUGGGGGACGUCCUCUGUGGAACUGCCCAGGGGAGAAAAGUCGGAUGGGACCACGUGAGCCCACAGCUCACGUGGCAUGAGACGGCCUGGUGUGAACGGCUGCGGGGGCAGGCCCAUGCGAAAGGCAGGCACUCUCGCCCUCCCCUCUUCUCCCACUCAGGAGGGCCAUCUACAUCUAGGCCUCAAGCCAUGGCCACACGGACACCACAGCAGCUGGGCAGCUCUUUGGCAAGCCUGGGAGAGCAGGGACUUCAGGGAAGUAAAGGAGAACCCAGACAAAGCCUCCUUUCAAAAGACUCCUCUCUUGAGGACUUCGGGCUAUGGGCCCUUGGAGUCGGGGAAGACGUGGUCCCCACGGGGGAAGCUUGGCAAACUCCUGUCCCUGGGCAUCCAGUGGGCAGGGGGCAAGAAGGGAGCGUGCUGCUGGCACCAGGCCCCUGGCCUGGAUGGACCUGGACAGACGAACCAUGCCACAUGCUGGCCCGUCUCUCGAGGCCAACGAGUUAGCUCACGCUACCGAAGCAAGUGCCCUGGGCCUCCCACCGCCACUGCCCCCACGGCUGGUGCCGGUGGCUCCCCGUCUGUGGCAAUCUUUGCGGGCCCCGUCCUCCCUCCUGUGACUCCCCCUGGUCUAGGCGGGCAGCAGGCGGCGUCAUCUGAACUCCGUGAUAACAGUCUCCUCUAGGCUGGCAGGGCCGGGCCGGUGGCCCAGGGGGCGCUCGUGGCUCUGGAGCCCUGCCGGCCCGGCCCCCCACACCCCCUCCCCCAGCUCGGGCACGUUACCUGCUGUGCCAAUGAGUUUCUUGGAUUUGUUGAAGAUCUGAUCACCUGGGUUAGGAGGUGGCGCUACGUCCUGGCCCUGCCGCGCCAGCAGAGGGUUGUAAUCCUUUCCGUCAUAGUUUGCGUCAAAGAAUUUCUUAAACCACUGAAUAAACUCAAAAUUAUCUUGGAA